UACGGGGGGGGCAAGCGUUGUUCGGAAUUACUGGGCGUAAAGGGCGCGUAGGCGGCUUGGUAAGUCGGGGGUGAAAGUCAGCGGCUCAACCGCUGGACUGCCUUCGAGACUGCCUGGCUUGAGCAUGGUAGAGGCUGGCGGAAUUCCCGGUGUAGCGGUGGAAUGCGUAGAGAUCGGGAAGAACAUCGGUGGCGAAGGCGGCCAGCUGGGCCAUUGCUAACGCUGAUGCGCGACAGCGUGGGGAGCAAACAGG
This 253-nucleotide ribosomal RNA is filed under the name uncultured bacterium. RNAcentral describes it as "partial 16S ribosomal RNA". It matches the Rfam family "Bacterial small subunit ribosomal RNA", at positions 524 to 776 of the family's 1533-position model. The record is from RNAcentral.